Molecule: long non-coding RNA, 201 nt
Filed under: Mustela putorius furo (domestic ferret)
Lineage: Eukaryota; Metazoa; Chordata; Mammalia; Carnivora; Mustelidae
Description: lncRNA (ENSMPUG00000025309.1)
Source: RNAcentral
GUGAAUGAAGCAACCAUCAGUAGCAGACCCACUUUGGAGUCUCUUGGGAAAGUGUGAACAUGACAGUAAACAGCCUACAUCAAAGACAUUUCAAUUCUGCAACAAGCCUUUCUGUUUCAGAGAGGAGGAAUUUCAUGAAAAUUCAUGGAAGACAUAAUCUCUUCACAUUUUGCUUAACUAGGUAAAGUAGAUAGGCCCCUG